UUUGAGACGGUGUCUUGCUCUGUCGCCACGCUGGAGUGCAGUGGUGCGAUCUCGGCUCACUGCAACCUCCGCCUUCCAGGUUCAAGCGAUUCUUCUGCCUCAGCCUCCUGAGUAGCUGGGACUACAGGUGCGUGCCACCACACCCAGCUAAUUUUUUUGUAUUUUUAGUAGAGACGGGGUUUCACAGUGUUGGCCAGGAUGGUCUUGAUCUCUUGACCUCGUGAUCUGCCCGCCUUGGCCUCCGAAAGUGCUGGGAUUACAGGUGUGAGCCACUGCUCCCGGCCUUCCUCUGCCUUCUUGGAGGGAUUAGGUGUUUGUAUUUUCAUGGCACGCUGUGCAUACUUCUGCCAUGGAAUUUAUCUCGCUGUGUUACCCCCCUCCUCUGUCUGGCUUACUCUAAUUUCUGGGAGGACUAGGAUUUUGUCUUGCAGCUCCUUGUUCUUCACACCAGGCAAGCGUUGUCUCCUUAUGAAUGACUCCAGUGUCUUUUGACUAAAGAUAAACAUUGAAAUUGCGUGACUAGCCCAAGGAUACUCAGCGAGUUGGUGAUACAAGUGAAGCUGCUCUCAGGGGAGAACCCAGAAU
Molecule: small RNA, 585 nt
Filed under: Pan troglodytes (chimpanzee)
Lineage: Eukaryota; Metazoa; Chordata; Mammalia; Primates; Hominidae
Description: processed transcript
Source: RNAcentral